Molecule: ribosomal RNA, 243 nt
Filed under: uncultured bacterium
Lineage: Bacteria
Description: partial 16S ribosomal RNA
Rfam family: Bacterial small subunit ribosomal RNA
Source: RNAcentral
CGGGGAGGCGUCGAGCGGCGAACGGGUGAGUAACGCGUAGGAAUCUGCCUGAUAGUGGGGGAUAGCCCGGGGAAACCCGGAUUAAUACCGCAUACGCCCUACGGGGGAAAGGCUUCGGCCGUCCUUGGAUGGUCCCGCGUCCGAUUAGCUUGUUGGUGGGGUAACGGCCUACCAAGGCGACGAUCGGUAGCUGGUCUGAGAGGAUGAUCAGCCACACUGGGACUGAGACACGGCCCAGACUCC